RNAcentral lists this ribosomal RNA (482 nucleotides) under uncultured bacterium. Its description in RNAcentral is "partial 16S ribosomal RNA". It matches the Rfam family "Bacterial small subunit ribosomal RNA", at positions 30 to 507 of the family's 1533-position model. The record is from RNAcentral.
AUUGAACGCUGGCGGCAUGCCUUACACAUGCAAGUCGAACGGUAACGGGCCUUCGGGUGCCGACGAGUGGCGAACGGGUGAGUAAUACAUCGGAACGUGCCCGAUCGUGGGGGAUAACGAGGCGAAAGCUUUGCUAAUACCGCAUACGAUCUACGGAUGAAAGCAGGGGACCGCAAGGCCUUGCGCGGACGGAGCGGCCGAUGGCAGAUUAGGUAGUUGGUGGGAUAAAAGCUUACCAAGCCGACGAUCUGUAGCUGGUCUGAGAGGAUGAUCAGCCACACUGGGACUGAGACACGGCCCAGACUCCUACGGGAGGCAGCAGUGGGGAAUUUUGGACAAUGGGCGCAAGCCUGAUCCAGCCAUGCCGCGUGCAGGAUGAAGGCCUUCGGGUUGUAAACUGCUUUUGUACGGAACGAAAAGCUUUCUUUUAAUACAGGAGGGUCAUGACGGUACCGGAAGAAUAAGCACCGGCUAACUACGUG